This 1300-nucleotide ribosomal RNA is filed under the name Oerstedia sp. Iona 22. RNAcentral's name for it is "SSU rRNA". It matches the Rfam family "Eukaryotic small subunit ribosomal RNA", at positions 47 to 1335 of the family's 1831-position model. The record is from RNAcentral. Lineage: Eukaryota; Metazoa; Nemertea; Enopla; Monostilifera; Oerstediidae.
AGCCAUGCAUGUCUAAGUACAAACUUUUACACGGUGAAACCGCGAAUGGCUCAUUAAAUCAGUUAUGGUUUAUUAGAUGGUGCUAUCCUACUUGGAUAACUGUGGUAAUUCUAGAGCUAAUACAUGCUACAAAGCUCCGACCCUCGUUGGAAAGAGCGCUUUUAUUAGAUCAAGACCAACCGGUUUCGCCUUCGGGUGUUACCGUCGGAUUGAUGACUCUGGAUAACCUUUGCCGAUCGUAUGGCCCCGCGCCGACGACGCAUCUUUCAAAUGUCUGCCCUAUCAACUUUCGUUGGUAGGUGAUUUGCCUACCAAGGUGUUUACGGGUAACGGGGGAUCAGGGUUCGAUCCCGGAGAGGGAGCAUGAGAAACGGCUACCACAUCCAAGGAAGGCAGCAGGCGCGCAAAUUACCCACUCUUGGCACGAGGAGGUAGUGACGAAAAAUAACAAUACGGGACUCUUUCGAGGCCCCGUAAUUGGAAUGAGUACACUCUAAACCCGUUAACGAGGAUCUAUUGGAGGGCAAGUCUGGUGCCAGCAGCCGCGGUAAUUCCAGCUCCAAUAGCGUAUAUUAAAGCUGUUGCAGUUAAAAAGCUCGUAGUCGGAUUUCGGGCGGCGGCCAAUGGUUCGGUUCCGUGCCGAUACUGCUGGUCGCGGCCUCCACGCCGGUCGUCUUUCGGUGCUCUUAGUUGAGUGCCUUAAGUAGCCGGAGCGUUUACUUUGAAAAAAUUAGAGUGUUCAAGGCAGGCCAAAAGCCUGAAUGAUGGUGCAUGGAAUAAUGGAAUAGGACCUCGGUUCUAUUUUGUUGGUCUUCGGAACUGGAGGUAAUGAUUAAUAGGGACGGACGGGGGCAUUCGUAUUGCGGCGUUAGAGGUGAAAUUCUUGGAUCGUCGCAAGACGGACUACUGCGAAAGCAUUUGCCAAGAAUGUUUUCAUUGAUCAAGAGCGAAAGUCAGAGGAUCGAAGACGAUCAGAUACCGUCCUAGUUCUGACCAUAAACGAUGCCGACUAGCGAUCCGGCUCCGUUGCUUCAUAAGACUGGCCGGGCAGCUCCCGGGAAACCAAAGUCUAUGGGUUCCGGGGGAAGUAUGGUUGCAAAGCUGAAACUUAAAGGAAUUGACGGAAGGGCACCACCAGGAGUGGAGCCUGCGGCUUAAUUUGACUCAACACGGGAAAACUCACCCGGCCCGGACACCGUAAGGAUUGACAGAUUGAAAGCUCUUUCUUGAUUCGGUGGGUGGUGGUGCAUGGCCGUUCUUAGUUGGUGGAGCGAUUUGUCUGGUUAAUUCCGAUAACGAA